CAGUAGCCGCGGGAAUACGUAGGGUGCGAGCGUUAAUCGGAAUUACUGGGCGUAAAGCGUGCGCAGGCGGUUCGUUAAGACAGAUGUGAAAUCCCCGGGCUUAACCUGGGAACUGCAUUUGUGACUGGCGAGCUAGAGUAUGGCAGAGGGGGGUAGAAUUCCACGUGUAGCAGUGAAAUGCGUAGAGAUGUGGAGGAAUACCGAUGGCGAAGGCAGCCCCCUGGGCAAAUACUGACGCUCAUGCACGAAAGCGUGGGGAGCAAACAGGAUUAGAUACCCCGGUAGUCCCUGUCUCUUAUAC
This 301-nucleotide ribosomal RNA is filed under the name uncultured bacterium. RNAcentral describes it as "partial 16S ribosomal RNA". It matches the Rfam family "Bacterial small subunit ribosomal RNA", at positions 509 to 807 of the family's 1533-position model. The record is from RNAcentral.